RNAcentral lists this ribosomal RNA (299 nucleotides) under Neocalanus plumchrus. RNAcentral's name for it is "partial 16S rRNA". The record is from RNAcentral. Lineage: Eukaryota; Metazoa; Arthropoda; Copepoda; Calanoida; Calanidae.
AAUUAGUUUUUUAAUUGGAAAAUAGAAUGAAUGGUACCACUAAGAUAUCUUUUUUAGGACAUAUUUCGAAAUUUUAGUUUAAGUGAAAAUACUUAAAAAUGUUUUUAAGACGAGAAGACCCUAUGAAGCUGAUAGAUAUAAAAUAUUAUUAGCUAUUUUAAUAAAAAUCUAUUUUUUGGGGUAAAAAUUAAAAUUAUUAUUUAAAUACAUAUAUAUAAAAUGAGCCUCUCGGAAUAAUAAAAAAGCUCCUCUAGGGAUAACAGCAUUAUACCUAUAAGAGUUCUUAUCAGAAUAGGUGU